GACGAACGCUGGCGGCAUGCCUAACACAUGCAAGUCUAGGGGUAGCAAUACCACUGGCGCACGGGUGAGUAACACGUAGGUUAUCUGCCCCCAUCACAGACAUAACCCCGGGAAACCGGGGCUAAUAUCUGAUGAGGUCGCGAGAUCAAAGCUUCGGCGGAUGGGGAUGAGCCUGCGGCUGAUUAGCUAGUUGGUGAGGUAAUGGCUCACCAAGGCGACGAUCAGUAGCUGGUCUGAGAGGACGAACAGCCACACUGGAACUGAGACACGGUCCAGACUCCUACGGGAGGCAGCAGUGAGGAAUAUUGGUCAAUGGGAGCAAUCCUGAACCAGCAAUGCCGCGUGUGGGAUGACAGGGCUUCGCCUUGUAAACCACUGUCGGACGGGACGAAAGGAGGCCUCGGGCCUCUGGGGCGGUACCGUCAAAGGAAGGGUCGGCUAACUACGUGCCAGCAGCCGCGGU
Molecule: ribosomal RNA, 463 nt
Filed under: uncultured bacterium
Lineage: Bacteria
Description: bacterial SSU rRNA
Rfam family: Bacterial small subunit ribosomal RNA
Source: RNAcentral